This 253-nucleotide ribosomal RNA is filed under the name uncultured bacterium. RNAcentral's name for it is "partial 16S ribosomal RNA". It matches the Rfam family "Bacterial small subunit ribosomal RNA", at positions 524 to 776 of the family's 1533-position model. The record is from RNAcentral.
GACGAACCGUGCGACCGUUGUUCGGAAUCACUGGGCAUAAAGGGCGCGUAGGCGGCUUAUCAAGUCAGGGGUGAAAUCCGGCAGCUCAACUGUCGAAGUGCCCUUGAUACUGAUGAGCUCGAGGGAGGUAGGGGUGUGCGGAACUUCCGGUGGAGCGGUGAAAUGCGUUGAUAUCGGAAGGAACGCCGGUGGCGAAAGCGGCGCACUGGACCUCUUCUGACGCUGAGGCGCGAAAGCCAGGGGAGCAAACGGG